UCUGUUCUAAAUCUCAUGUCACAACCAUCAGGUUGUAACUACGGUAUAACUAUAGCAGUGUCUUGGUGCGAACUGUUCAUCAUUAGCUUCAUGCUGUGUUCUCUAAUCCUACUUCAAAUCCAUCAUAAUCUGUUCUAAUUCAUUCAUUAAAGUAUCACUGGAGUAUACAGGCAUACAGCAACAAAUUCAAGCACGAGUAAGCUGAAUCGAGG
Molecule: long non-coding RNA, 212 nt
Filed under: Panax ginseng (ginseng)
Lineage: Eukaryota; Viridiplantae; Streptophyta; Magnoliopsida; Apiales; Araliaceae
Description: long non-coding RNA (PGIN_LNC001768)
Source: RNAcentral